UGACGGUACCUGACUAAGAAGCCCCGGCUAACUACGUGCCAGCAGCCGCGGUAAUACGUAGGGGGCAAGCGUUAUCCGGAUUUACUGGGUGUAAAGGGAGCGUAGACGGAGAAGCAGGUCUGAUGUGAAAGGCAUGGGCUCAACCUGUGGACUGCAUUGGAAACUGUUUUUCUUGAGUGCCGGAGGGGUAAGCGGAAUUCCUAGUGUAGCGGUGAAAUGCGUAGAUAUUAGGAGGAACACCAGUGGCGAAGGCGGCUUACUGGACGGUAACUGACGUUGAGGCUCGAAAGCGUGGGGAGCAAACAGGAUUAGAUACCCUG
This 320-nucleotide ribosomal RNA is filed under the name uncultured bacterium. Its description in RNAcentral is "bacterial SSU rRNA". It matches the Rfam family "Bacterial small subunit ribosomal RNA", at positions 470 to 789 of the family's 1533-position model. The record is from RNAcentral.